Molecule: ribosomal RNA, 328 nt
Filed under: Gecarcinucus jacquemontii
Lineage: Eukaryota; Metazoa; Arthropoda; Malacostraca; Decapoda; Gecarcinucidae
Description: partial 12S ribosomal RNA
Source: RNAcentral
AUUUACUUUAAAUUUUAAGAAUUUGGCGGUAAUUUAGUCUUUUUAGAGGAACCUGUUAUAUAAUCGAUAAACCACGAAAUAUCUUACUUAUUUAAUUAUUGUUUGUAUACCAUCAUUAUUAGAUAAUUUUUUAUAGGAUAAAUUAUUGGAAUUAGUUAACUAAAAAAAUUAGAUCAAGGUGCAGCUUAUAAAUAAGUUUAAAUGGGUUACAAUAAAGUUUAUUUAUUAUGGAAAAAUUUAGUAAUGAGGAUUGAAGAAAGAGGAUUUAAUUGUAAUAUAAAUUUAAUAAGUUUAUAUGAUAGGGGCUCUAAAUUAUGUACACAUCGCC